Magallana angulata is the source of this 467-nucleotide long non-coding RNA. RefSeq lists it as uncharacterized. The record is from RefSeq and is a predicted model, not a curated record. NCBI's taxonomy places the organism in Eukaryota, Metazoa, Mollusca, Bivalvia, Ostreida, Ostreidae. The transcript is spliced from 3 exons.
UGUCAGCGUCCUAUUCUAACAAGUGAACUUCAUCUUACCUCCAAUCCAUUUAGACAGAUGUUUUAUUUCAAUGAGUCUGUUUAUUUUUUCUGUUCCGUUGGAUUCUAUCUCCAGGGAUCAUCAAUUAAAAAUUGUACAAAAUCAGAUGAUUUUCAACAUGAAUUACCUUCGUGUUCAAACAUAACUUGCAAGAAACCAAACUUUACGACUACUAGUGCUCUACAACUGUCCACAAAUACACUCCAGGAGAUAUUUUCUUUCAAUGAUUCUAUUUCAUUUACCUGCACUUUAGGAUACAUUCUACAAGGACCCACGAUAAAAUACUGUCGACAAAUUGGAGAUUUUGAACAUAAUUUACCUACUUGUGCAGAAAUCCAGAGCACACAGAUAUCAUUAACCCUCGCCUUUUUGUCAGGAGGUGCCAUUGGCAUCAUUUUACUUUCAUCUGUUAUGAUUGUUAUCGUUAU